UAUCAUCAAACCCUCGGGUUCGCGCCCGCUGCGGUUUGGAGUUGGGGGCUUUUGCUGCCGUGAGGCGGCUCCCCUUAAAAUCAUCGGUUUGGCCCGUAUCUUGCGGCUAGCACCUUUGGCGUUGUAUUUCCCUCGCCUUCGAUCGGUCUUGCUCGCUUCCGCGCCUCACCCCGACUUGCCCUUUGGGUGGCGGUCACUUCUUGACA
RNAcentral lists this unclassified non-coding RNA (206 nucleotides) under uncultured Athelopsis. Its description in RNAcentral is "sequence contains ITS2". Lineage: Eukaryota; Fungi; Basidiomycota; Agaricomycetes; Corticiales; Corticiaceae. The record is from RNAcentral.